RNAcentral lists this long non-coding RNA (3262 nucleotides) under Homo sapiens (human). RNAcentral's name for it is "HSALNT0136053". Lineage: Eukaryota; Metazoa; Chordata; Mammalia; Primates; Hominidae. The record is from RNAcentral.
UGGGCACAUUACUGCCCCCACUCCCACUUCCAAAAUGGAUUCUGUGAAUAAGGAAGACAGGAGAAUGGAUAUCCAAUAGGCAACUAACAAAGUGAAGUGUGAUUACAAUCAAUGAAUAGACUGAAUAUUUUAAUUAAAGUCUAGAAUUGGAGGGCUUAGGUAAGGUGGACUGGAAAACAGGAAGGUUCCACAAAACAGACUUUACUUAAUUUUUUUUUUUUUGAGACAGGGUCUUGCUCUGCUGCUGACACUGGCCUUGAGCUGCUGGUCUCAAGCGAUCCUCCAGCCUCAGCCUCCUGAGUUGGGAUUACAGGCACAAGCCACAGUGCUCGACUUUUUAUUUAAUCUUGUUAGAAGACAAGACAGAAACAUGUCCGUUGUGAAAACAAGGAAGCUGCGGGCAGAUCGAUUGACCCCAGGAGUUCAAGACCAUUCUGGGCAACAUAGCAAGACUCUAUCUCUGAAGACAAAACCAGCCAACCAACCAACCAACCAAUCAACCAACAAAAAAGAUCAAGCAGAGGUGCUCCAGAGGACGCAGCAAUAGAAUUCCGGAGCAAUGUCUGCUUGGCCUCGGUCUUCAUUCCCAUGGUGGCCCCUGAGUUCCGUGGAGCUCACUUCUACAUAGUUCCAUGUGUGACUUCAACAAAAUAAAAUGACGCAUUUAUUGGUUAAAAAUCAGAGAUUACCAUCAGAUAUGGAAAAUUGCUUUUACUUGGUAAUAACAAUCUUACGCACUUUUUACCAAACCCAUCGCAUUAAAUAACUAGCGUUUCAAAUUUUGACACUGCAUAAUAAACCCUCAUUUGAAAUGACUGGAGAAAUACUCAUCAAAUCUCAUGGAAGAAUGACAGAAUUUUCUCCAGAAUUUAUCGGAAAGGAAAAGAGGUUGGACUGUCAGGAAACGUUUUCAGGGUAACAUACUUACUAUUUUCUAGACAGUUACUCAGAUAACACUUGUACGCAGAGGGAAACACACCCCUGGGCUUUGCAAACACUUGUUUCCUGUGUGUCAGACUCGCCUGCAUCCUGUUUAUCAAAUGGAACGGAUAGUUAUUGAAAGCAAAGACCAGAACAACUUACCUCUUGUCAGUCACCUGCUUUUCUUUACUUGUCAUACUUUUAGCAUUUACAAAGUUUUAAAAAUGUGUUUAUCAUUUGGAUCCCUGGGGCAGAUGAUAGGUGAACCCCACAUCCCAGACACAUGGCCACCAAAGAUAUUCUUGCUUUUUUAAUGUUUAUCAAGUUCCUCCGCAGACAACAGAAACCAGAAAGUGAUCCGCUGCCAGCGACAGGGAGACACACAACUGGUCCUUAUUCUAAAGACCCGACCCAGCCUGGAAUGGGGCCCGGCGAGGAGUUCUUGCGCCGGCCGCGGGGACUGGGCGGUAAUGAGCCGCUAGUCUCGGAAGGUGGUGCUGUUGGGUGUGAGGGGAGAUCCGGCUUGCGCUGAAACAGCGAGCGGCGUGCAAGGAGGAAGCCGCGAUUUCCAAGGCGGAUUCCCUUCGCUGGGACACAACUCUUGAGAAUAAGACUUAUAAGGACUCUGAGAGUUUGAGGCAGAGGCAGAACGGCUCUGGGCUGAGUGAUGGGGAGGAUACCAGCACUCAGCGCGGGUGGCGGGCGCGGGGCCGAGCGCGCGCAUCCAGGGACGCCUUGGGGACGGGACGCGGAGAAAAGUUGCCGGGCGGAGAGAAAGGGUGGCGCUGGAAACCAAAUGGCUUUCAUCCCCUGGAGACAAAGAGGUGCCUUCUUUUGACAACAGCUGCCAGUGACACACACACCAUACGGCGGGGCCGGCGGGGGAGGGGAGCCCGGGAGGAGAGCGUCUAAGGCGGGGACCGGCACUGACUUUCAAUAAUGGGGUGGUUGCCAUGGUGACGGGCCAGGCAUCUAAAGGGGCGGCUGAAAGCACCCAUUGUUCUGGGGCCCGGCUGCUCGGGUUGUGCCUGUUCCUAAGAGACACCUUUAGACACCUCCCUCCGUGCAGGGGCGAGCUGCGGCCCGGGGCUGGGAGCGUCUCCGCGGGAGUUUCACACCAGGGCCCCAGGCCGCAGAUCGCAGCGCCGCCUUGGCUGCACGCGCGCUGCAUACGGAGGGCAGCGCCGCCUCCCACGCACUAUCCGCCCGAAAUCCGAGCGCGACGCGCGCCCGCCUGGGCCCAGACGCGCAGGCCGGGACACGCAGCUCCGCCUGCUCCCCGCUGUCCCGGGGAGACUUCGAAUAACAAUGCGGAGCAGGACCCGGUGACUCCACAAAUAACUCGCUGAGGUCUGGGGCGAGGGCACUCGGGAAAACCCCGCAGUCACUUUGCAGUCGUGCUGGAAGGAAAAGCAGAACGGAAUCACAGGAUAAAGAAGAUUAAAAGUAACAGGGCAGCGUUGCAAUGUUGCUUGUAAGAGCAAGCAGCUGGAAACAACCUAAAAGCCCGUCCCUGGGGGCUGGGUGAAUGAUAUGGGGCGCAUCCCUCUGAGGGAACACUAAGCUGCCAUUAAAGAGUACAGGGCAGCUGUAUUUGCUGAGACGUGGAAAUUUUCCGGUGUAUUCUAAGUAAUAAAGUGCAGAAGAGUGUGAGUAGGGCUGUGUGUAUGUGGUAUGUGUGUUUGCAUCUCUGGAAGUGGUUGCUUCUUAGGAUGGUCACUGUGGGACUAGGAGUGGAGGAGAGAAAGAAAACUUGCUUUUCACCGUACUAGAAUCUUCUGCACCUUUUGAAUUUUGCCGUUUAUACUAUGUCUUUACCUGUAAAGAAAAAAGAACUUUGAAAUAAAGUUGCAUUUGCUUGAACACUGUCUAAUGAGAUGUGCCACUCUCCAUAAAGCAUCUGAACUCAUUUUUAGUGCUUUAAUAAAUAUUAAUUUUUAAAAUAUAUAUGCACAAAUGCUAUUAGCCCACAGAUAUGUAAAGGUAGUGACAGUGGCAAGUUAGAGAUGAAAAGAUACACUUCUUUCCUGCCUUCCUGUGGUGCCGAGACGGACGGAGCCAGCUGUCAUUCAAGGAGCCUGCUGUAUAACCCAUCUAUUAUUAUAUCACAUUAAUCAUAGGGAUCUCACAUUAAACAAACAUGACAUUAGGGAAAUUUUCCUAGUUACAAAAUGGUAUAUAAUCAGUGAAAUGGACUAUUGAACACCAAAUGUCAUAGAUUUUUUUUUUUUUUUUGAGACGAGUCAAGCUCUGUUACCCAGGCUGCAGUGCAGUGGUGCGAUCUCGGCUCACUGCAAGCUCCGCCUCCCUGGUUCAAGUGAUUUUGCUGCCUCAGCCUCCG